This 548-nucleotide ribosomal RNA is filed under the name uncultured organism. Its description in RNAcentral is "bacterial SSU rRNA". It matches the Rfam family "Bacterial small subunit ribosomal RNA", at positions 335 to 901 of the family's 1533-position model. The record is from RNAcentral.
ACUCCUACGGAGGCACAGUGGGGAAUUCCGCAAUGGGCGAAAGCCUGACGGAGCAAGACCGCGUGAGGGAGGAAGGCUCUUGGGUUGUAAACCUCUUUUCUCAGGGAAGAAGCUCUGACGGUACCUGAGGAAUCAGCCUCGGCUAACUCCGUGCCAGCAGCCGCGGUAAUACGGAGGAGGCAAGCGUUAUCCGGAAUUAUUGGGCGUAAAGCGUCCGCAGGUGGCGAUUCAAGUCUGCUGUCAAAGCACGGGGCUUAACUCCGUUAAGGCAGUGGAAACUGAAUAGCUAGAGUGCCGUAGGGGUAGAGGGAAUUCCCGGUGUAGCGGUGAAAUGCGUAGAGAUCGGGAAGAACAUCGGUGGCGAAAGCGCUCUACUGGACGGCAACUGACACUCAGGGACGAAAGCUAGGGGAGCGAAUGGGAUUAGAUACCCCAGUAGUCCUAGCUGUGAACGAUGGAUACUAGGUGUAGCUUGUAUCGACCCGAGCUGUGCCGAAGCUAACGCGUUAAGUAUCCCGNCUGGGGAGUACGCACGCAAGUGUGAAACU